CGAGGGGGGGCAGAUGUGGAGGCGGGUAGUGCAUCCAGAGACCCUAGCAUGGCAAGGCGAUGCGGUGCCCUGAGGUCGCGGAGUGGAGUCCCCAAGGGAAGGGGAGCGGCAGGCGGAGAUGAUCAGUCAGGGCAGAGGACAGCCCCACGGCCUGGUUCUUUCUUCCGCCGUCUUUUGAAAUAGUGGGGUCUGGCUGUCAUCACCGCAGCCUGGGAGCUGCACUAAGUGAGGGGUGUCGUCGGCUUUUUGCUGAGCCAGGGUUAACGCUCCCGGGCCGGCUGGGGCGCCUGAAGCGGGGAGAAUUGGCGGCGAGGCGCCGGCCCAGCAUGUCGCUGCCUCUGGAGAAAGCCUCCGAGCUGAAGCAGCUUAUCCACCAACCCCUGAGCAAGGUAGAGAGGCCGCGGGCGCGCUCCUGCCCGCCUUGUGGCCUGGAGCGCCCAGCCUGGCGUCCUUUGGCCCGGCCGACGACGGCACCUUUUUGCCGUGGACUCGAGCAAAGGCUGAGACGCCGAACGCGGGAUGCGCCGAGCUGCGAGUUUGAAGCCGGAGGAAAGAGCAAGUCUCUCGAUGAAAGAACAAGCCCAGAAAGUGCCAGUAGGAGUCUGAGGUGAUAGAAUGGUGUUAGUAUUGUAGGACAGUGUGAAAAUGAAGCGUUUGUCGAACGAUUUCUGGAAGUCAGAUUGAGUAUAAGUUGUGUUUAGAGCAGGUUUCUAUUCGGAGGUCAGGAAUUAGAAUUACUUUAAGGGUGAACCUUGCGGUGUCAUUGAAGUUGAACCAAAUCAGCAAUUCUUAAAGAAGGCAUGAAAGAGAAGUUACUAAAGGAUUUGUAAUGAAAGUAUUUGUGAUCCUUCGGAGCUCAAGAAGAACAUUGUGUCUUUGAGGUGCUCAACUGAAUGCAGUAAGCUGAAGUAAUACAAGCUACCGUUUAUUGUGCGCUUAUUUGCCACGCUUUGUGUUAGGGGUUUGCCAUCUUUGAUCCAAGCCUCACGAUAAUCUUGACAGGGAAAGAUUAUUGACCAGAUUGAUUAAGGGUAAAUAAGUUAAGUCAAGGUCACACCUAAUAAGUUGAAAACUGGAAUUCAUACUUUGAUCACCCCCACCAGUUCUGUGUUCUUUUGAUUGUAUUGUACUUUCUCUCAAAAGAUUUGUUUUGGUUGAGUGUAUUUGUGGGGAAAUGGUAACAAGGGUAGUAAAUAACUAGUAGAGACUAUUUCUAGAAUGUGUACUAAGAAAAUUCAUCUUUAAAAAAUUUUUUGUUUUUUCCCUUUAAAAUUCUUUGUUCUCAUUGAAUUCUGUUUAACAAUUUUACAUUUACUAUUAGCUUGAGAAGCCUUCCUGAAUUUAGUCUAUCUACUCUCCCAUUAUUUUUUUCUUUGGCUUAGUAUUUUAGAAAGAAAUUAGCUAGUUGGCAAUAUUUGACUGCUUUGUAAUAUUGUAAAUUGUGAUGUGAGUUUUCUUCGUAGAUGGAUGUCCAUGGCAGAAUAAGAGAAAUCCUUGCUGAGACAGUAUGGGAAGAUUGGCACCCGAUCAACAACAGUUAUCAACAGAAGAUUUGAUUAAAGCCCUUAGAUGUUGAGGAAUCAUUGAUGAUGUGAUGAAAGAACUUAAUUUUGUUACUGACAGUGUCGAUCAAGAACUCGCUUCCUCGCCAAAACAACCUGUUUUACUGAUAGAUAGUCAACACUAUUAAAAAAAAAAACUUUUUCGUUCUAAACCUCUUCCAUGUGCCUGUGAACCAAAUUUUCAUAAAGAGUUUUUACUUGAAGUACACAGAGAAAGCUUAGGCAUGAAAUCAAAAGUUUCUGUGUGAAUUGUAAAUAUAAAAUUUGAGAUGUACCCACCACUCAAUCAAACAUUAUCUGAAGAAGUGAAUGCAGAGGAAGAAAAUGGGAUAAAUAGACCAGUCUGUUCCUAUGUUAACCUACUUUGAGCUGGGAGUCUUCUGGAUACUCCAAGCGUGACUCUGAAGAUGGUGCCAAUCUUCUGUGCAGCCUUCUUGGAUAUGGAUUAGAAGCCUUUGUCUGUGUUGGGACUAAGGCAAAGGAAUACCUCAUGUGUGGGUUAUGACUUGUGGAACUGAUAGAACCAUCACUUUUUGGGAGAGUUUAACAGGACACAGUACAUCCACAAAUCUACAAUCCUGAUGAAUCUCCAGUUGCUGAACAGCCGAAACCAUCAUGUCCAUAUCGAACAAUUGGUUGUGUUUUAAUCAUCAAAUGUUCCUGGGCAAGUGUCAGCCCUCUGACUCAGUAGAAAUUCGUAUAUUUGAGUUGAAUGAUGAAUCCAAAUGGAAAAGCAUUGAGUGAAGAAGCAGUUAAAUCUGUGUGUGCUCCAGGAGCUGUAAUAUUCCUUCCUCCCUUUCUUCCUCUAUGUGCAUCCAUGAUUGAUGCUUCAUUAAUAAGUAAUGAAAUAGAAAUGCAACUAAGGCUACUAGUGUCAGAACACAGGAAGGUAAUUAAUACUGAAAUUUGUAGUUUCAUGCAUUUUUUUAUUUGCUUAUGUGUUUAACAGUUUUUUUUGGUGUGUAUGAUAGUGCCAGUCACUCUUCUAGCCCUGAACAAAGCAAGUACUGUCCCUGCCUUAUGAAGCUUGUAGUUUUGAAAGUUGAGAGUUAAGUUCUGAGACUCCAAAAUUUCCAAAUUCACUAAUACUUCCAGAAUUUAUUACUUCUUUCUAGAUAUGAAGAAUGGUGGACUUGUUCAGACUUUUUCUGAAUACGACUAUUUGGAUUUCCUCUGUGAAGUACUUAUUCAAAUCAUUCCUCACUAAAAAUAACUGGGUUAUAUAUUUUUCGUAUUCAUUUUGUUUUUAUUUUCCACGUUGGUUUUGUUUGUUUUGUUUUCCUAUUACACUAAAUUAGGUAGAUGAAAAAUGAUAUCCUCAUUUUGGCUUUAAUUUGCAUUUCCCUGAUUACUAAUGAGGUCAAGCCUCUUAUUUAUUAGCCAUUUAGAUUUCUUUUGUACAGUACCUUAAGGAAGACAUAAAAAGCAUUAAUCAUAAAGGAAAAGAUUAGUAUAUUUUCAGAACUUGUGUUCAUCAAAAGAAACCAUUAAGAGAGUGAAAAGGGCAGCCUUGGAGUGGGAAAAGUUAUUUGCAACACAUAUAACCAACAAACGACUAAAAUCCAAAAUUCCUAAAAAAGAUUUAUUUCUAAUUCACCUGUUAGGAUUCCCUGGUAGACUCCCCACCUUGGGUGAGCCCUGUUUUCCAUGUUCCUUCAAGCCAUCAAAGGCAAACUGUUUUAUCAAAUAUGUUCUCUGGGCUCCCAGUUACUUUUAGCUUUGGCCGCUAAAAUCUUCCUUACUCACUCAUCAACUUGUCAAAGCAUUUAAAAGUAUAUUUUGGAAAACAGAAGAAUAGAUGAUCAUGGACCUUUGGGAUCACUUGGAACCAGUUAAAACCUUGAAUGUGAAAUCAAGAAAUGCUAAAGACCUAUUAUGAUAAUCAAAAUAUUUAGAAUUUUGAGAAGUUUUUAAUAUUUGUAACAGGUUUUAAAAAUAUGUGUCUAGAUAACAAUAGUUCAUUUGAUGUUAUAAAUGAAAUAACUGCCUUCAACAUUCCAUAGAAACAUGUUUUAAGCUCCCGGAAGGCCUGUAGCAUGUCUUCUCUACCUUUUUAUCUCUUAUGGUAUAAAAGUCAGUGCCUUAAAUGCUCAGUAAAUGUUUGAGUUUAAUUAUAUAUGCAAUUCACUUGUUGACUUUUCUCCCCUACUACCACUGAAUUUAUGUAGGAGCAAUCAAAUUAAGCAGAUUCAAUUUUACUAAACUCUUUAAAGUUAAAUAAAAUAUGACCUCAAAAUUCAAUGAUACUGUCUUCCAUGGUAGGACUAUUCUGUAUGGUCUUUGCUAGUGGAUAGUAAGAAGUAGAAAUUUUGUAACCUUCACUAACAUCAUUGUAUUGGAUGUAUUUUGGUUAUUUCUCUAAGAAGUAAAACCUCAUACCUGGAGUUCCUUUUAUUUUUUUAUUUCAAUGUAUCCUUAUAAUAAUAGAAAGCUUCAAAAAUUAUGACAGGUUUUAAAAAUCUUUUCUUGACAUACCUUAAAAUAAUCAACCUUUUUAUUCUUUUUUUUUUUUUAAUUUUAUUUAUUUAUUUUUCCCCCAAAGCCCCAGUAGAUAGUUGUAUGUCAUAGUUGCACAUCCUUCUAGUUGCUGCAUGUGGGACGCGGCCUCAGCAUGGCCAGAGAAGCGGUGCGCCAGUGCGCACCCGGGAUCUGAACCCCGGGCCGCCAGCAGCAGAGCGCGCGCACUUAACCACUAAGCCACGGGGCUGGCCCUCAACCUUUUUAUUCUAAUUGGUUUUUUAAGUAUUGAUGUAUUUCACUUUUUCUUUUUCUCUUUUGAU
This is a long non-coding RNA of Diceros bicornis minor, 4342 nucleotides long. RefSeq lists it as uncharacterized. The transcript has 7 exons. NCBI's taxonomy places the organism in Eukaryota, Metazoa, Chordata, Mammalia, Perissodactyla, Rhinocerotidae. The record is from RefSeq and is a predicted model, not a curated record.